Non-coding RNA from Cyanistes caeruleus (blue tit), 221 nucleotides. The record is from RefSeq and is a predicted model, not a curated record. NCBI's taxonomy places the organism in Eukaryota, Metazoa, Chordata, Aves, Passeriformes, Paridae.
AGUGUCUGUCCAUGCCAUGGGUCCUGUGUUUUUGUGGAUACAAGGGAAGUUUCCAUAUCUAGCAAACUCCAUUAAUGGAAGAGAUUUUCUCUUGUGAUGGUUGCUGUCAAUGAAACAAGAACCCUGAAGCUUGGUCCAAGAGAGACUUGCCUGGAGGGGCUUGGGAGCCCACAAAAAGAAAAGAUGUUUUCUUAAGAAUUUGGAUAAAGGUUUUCUCCUAC